Tulasnella sp. 332 is the source of this 113-nucleotide non-coding RNA. Lineage: Eukaryota; Fungi; Basidiomycota; Agaricomycetes; Cantharellales; Tulasnellaceae. The record is from the annotation of a GenBank genome assembly.
GCCUGGCUAGCUCAAUCGGUAGAGCGUCAGACUCUUAUAUAGAAACUCCACGUGGGCGUUAAACCCAUCAGAUUUCUAUCUGAAGGUUAUGGGUUCGACCCCCAUGUUAGGCU